AACGCGAAGAACCUUACCAGCUUUUGACAUGUCCCGUAUGAGUACCAGAGAUGGAACUCUUCAGUUCGGCUGGCGGGAACACAGGUGCUGCAUGGCUGUCGUCAGCUCGUGUCGUGAGAUGUUGGGUUAAGUCCCGCAACGAGCGCAACCCUCGCCCUUAGUUGCCAUCAUUUAGUUGGGCACUCUAAGGGGACUGCCGGUGAUAAGCCGCGAGGAAGGUGGGGAUGACGUCAAGUCCUCAUGGCCCUUACAGGCUGGGCUACACACGUGCUACAAUGGCGGUGACAAUGGGAUGCAAUGGGGAGACCCUGCGCAAAUCUCAAAAAGCCGUCUCAGUUCGGAUUGUGCUCUGCAACUCGAGCACAUGAAGUUGGAAUCGCUAGUAAUCGCAGAUCAGCACGCUGCGGUGAAUACGUUCCCGGGCCUUGUA
RNAcentral lists this ribosomal RNA (430 nucleotides) under uncultured Alphaproteobacteria bacterium. RNAcentral's name for it is "bacterial SSU rRNA". It matches the Rfam family "Bacterial small subunit ribosomal RNA", at positions 958 to 1385 of the family's 1533-position model. The record is from RNAcentral. Lineage: Bacteria; Pseudomonadati; Pseudomonadota; Alphaproteobacteria.